Molecule: ribosomal RNA, 169 nt
Filed under: Oxylobium microphyllum
Lineage: Eukaryota; Viridiplantae; Streptophyta; Magnoliopsida; Fabales; Fabaceae
Description: 5.8S ribosomal RNA
Rfam family: 5.8S ribosomal RNA
About the family: 5.8S ribosomal RNA (5.8S rRNA) is a component of the large subunit of the eukaryotic ribosome. It is transcribed by RNA polymerase I as part of the 45S precursor that also contains 18S and 28S rRNA.
Source: RNAcentral
AUACAAAAAUGACUCUCGGCAACGGAUAUCUCGGCUCUUGCAUCGAUGAAGAACGUAGCGAAAUGCGAUACUUGGUGUGAAUUGCAGAAUCCCGUGAACCAUCGAGUCUUUGAACGCAAGUUGCGCCCAAAGCCAUUAGGCUGAGGGCACGCCUGCCUGGGUGUCACAC